UAAAAGAAUAAGAAACAAAAAAGUAAUGAAAAAAAACAUACAAAAAUGAAAAAAAUAAAUUAAAUUAAAGGCAAAAAAUAAUAAUAAUAAAUUGACAGAGUAAAACAAUAUUUUAUUCUACAUUUUCAAUAUAAGGUGUAACGUCAAUUUUAAAAGAAACCCGAGUUACCAGUACAGGUAAAUUUUAAAGAAACAUACCAACUAAAAUCUUCAACCCUGAUUGAUUUUUACAGGUAACAUAAUUAGAUAACACAUCUACCUAUGUUUUAUGACCCCAAAUAAAUGGCCAACAUCUCAAGAUUUAAUAUCCGAAUAAAUGUUCACCAUUGGAUGUUGACCAUGCAAGAGGGUGGACAUAACUAAGAGGAUGUCACAUGUUGUACUUUAUCAGGAUUUGUUCUCAUAAUGUUAAUAGGAUUAAAAGUAAAUAUGAUGAUAUCAAACAAACACUUAUGUUUAUAAAUAACCCACCUGCUGUAGUGGGUAUGUGUGAAAUAUUUUUAACUAAAAACACUACAGAUAAUGAAUUACAAAUAACUGGUUAUUUAUCUGAAAGGAAGAAAAAAAUGUUCAAGACAAAACAACAUUGAAAUAGGAGGUAUUGACACAAUGUGGUUUGAAGUAAAACCAGAUUAUGAAAAAAUAACUUUUGCUAUGUUUUGUGUACAGACCUCCAAAGUCAACAAUAGACUGGGUUGAUGAUUUUGAAAAAGAACUAGGAAUGACAGUGACCAUUUAUUUAGAUAUAUUAUUAUUGAGUGAUUUUAAUAUGAAUUUUAAAGCACCAAGCAAACCUUCUAAAAAUGGGUGAGUGUUUUAGAAUCGUUCGAUAUUCAACAAUUGAUUGAAGAUGCUACAAGGUUCACAAAGGAUUCUAGUACAUCGAUUGAUCUAGAUAGUGACCAUUAACAUAUUUGUUUAACAAGGAAAGAAGUUAAUAAAGACGAAAAGAAUACACACAGUACAAUCACAUAAAGGAGUUAAAAUGACCAAAAUGAAUUUCUAUUAGACCUAUAAAGUACAAAUUCUUUAUAAAAUUGAAUUUGAAUCCUUCUGUCUGUCUUCAAUUAUGUUAUGAUAAGUUGAACAAAGUUUUAGAUAAUCAUGCUCCUGUUGAUGAAAAAAGAGUUAAACAGGAUAGGCAAUCUGAUUGGUAUAAUAGUGAAAUUAGUUAUGCUAGGAACAUGAGGGAUAAAUAUAAUGCACUUGGAUUGUGAAGUGAAUAUAUAUUUUAGAGAAAUAAAACUAAACAAAGAAUAGAGAACUAAAAAAAAAACAUUAUAAAAACAUGGUAAAAGAAUCUAAUGACUCAUUUUUUUUUAUGGAAAUGCCUUCAUAGUCUAAACCCUAAGGUAAAACAUCCCCAAAUGAGUUAACUACAGAUGAUAACAACACAACGAAAAAUAAUAAAAAAAUCAAUAGCAGAUACUUUUAACAAUAUUUUGACUACCUGUGCCGAAAAAGUAAGUGAGCAAAGAGACAAUACAUCUGUUGACAAGGCGGAUUUCAAUAAUCGUAGCACAUUCAUUGAAAAUCAAUUAGUACAAGAAAAUCACGAGAAAUUUACCUUAACACCAAUAAAGAUAAAUGAGCUAUUUGAUGAGUUAACAAAACCUGAUGUAAAUAAAUCAUCGGGUCUGAUAACAAUGGACCCCAAAUCCUUAAAAUAAGUGCCCCAUAUAUUGCCUCUCCUCUCACAUAUAUAUUCAACAGAAUGAUAGAUACUGGUGUAUAUCCUUCAUUACUGAAAACUGCUAAGGUAAUACUAGUUUACAAAGAUGGUGACAAGGUUUUAGCAACAAAUUACAGACCCA
RNAcentral lists this long non-coding RNA (1814 nucleotides) under Mytilus galloprovincialis (Mediterranean mussel). The record is from RNAcentral. Lineage: Eukaryota; Metazoa; Mollusca; Bivalvia; Mytilida; Mytilidae.